UGAGGCUCUAGGUGCCCCAGUAGCAGGGCCUUCUGCAGCAAGGCCGGGAACUGCUGCACCAUUGAUACCAGAGAUGAGACUGAGGUUUCUCACCGGUUCCUAAGCCCAGUCAGAGCUGUCAGGUAAUUACAGGGUAACCGACAGCCCAGAGCCAGGCGGGCGUGGAGCCGGAGCGUCAGUCUCGCCGGGCGCUCCUUCCCUGCGCCCCUGUCUGGAAAAGAGGAGACCUGGAAGCCGGGUUAAACUUUAACACGGGUCGGGCACAGAGCAGGGGGAAUCAGCUGCAUUCCCUCUGGCCAAGCUGGUCAGAGCUCUGCGGGCUGCCGUCCUUGGCCAAGAGCGUGUGGGCUAGCUCCGGUCUCUGCCCAGGCUGGUAAACAAGGGCGUGGAAAAGAUACCCCAGUCUGCGGUGACGAGGACUCCAGUGCCCGAAGUGCAGCUCGCCCAGCCCUAGCUCAGUG
Molecule: long non-coding RNA, 461 nt
Filed under: Homo sapiens (human)
Lineage: Eukaryota; Metazoa; Chordata; Mammalia; Primates; Hominidae
Description: non-protein coding lnc-CNGB1-2:2
Source: RNAcentral